Molecule: non-coding RNA, 303 nt
Organism: Poecilia reticulata (guppy)
Lineage: Eukaryota; Metazoa; Chordata; Actinopteri; Cyprinodontiformes; Poeciliidae
Source: RefSeq, a predicted model, not a curated record
CACCACGCMCCUGCCGAUCAUCAGAUCAUCACCAGGAGCUUAAGAGGAGCCACCUGACAACACUUCCUCGCCAGAGUGUUGAUAUCCGCGGUUAAACCGAGUCCGAGAGCCGGAUCGAAUCCGAACCCUACCCAUCCGCCAGCCGGACCCGGAUUUCUCUGACGAGCACCCUCGGGCUGGCCCCUCUCUCCCUCAGCUCCCCGGACUGGCAUCGCUCUGGUUCCUGCUCCCCAGCCCUGACGUUUCUGUUCCGCCUCCCGUCCACAGUUCUCCGGAUCUGUUCGUUAAUAAACCUUUGAUCUC